This 788-nucleotide ribosomal RNA is filed under the name uncultured Methanomicrobiales archaeon. RNAcentral describes it as "bacterial SSU rRNA". It matches the Rfam family "Archaeal small subunit ribosomal RNA", at positions 85 to 879 of the family's 1478-position model. Lineage: Archaea; Methanobacteriati; Methanobacteriota; Methanomicrobia; Methanomicrobiales. The record is from RNAcentral.
ACKGCUCAGUAACACGUGGACAACCUAACCUACAGAGGGGGAUAACCCCGGGAAACUGGGGAUAAUACCCCAUAGACUAUGGAUGCUGGAAUGCUUCGUAGUUGAAAGGUCCGCCGCUGUAGGAUGGGUCUGCGGCCGAUUAGGUUGUUGUUGGGGUAACGGCCCAACAAGCCUGUAAUCGGUACGGGUUGUGGGAGCAAGAGCCCGGAGAUGGAUUCUGAGACACGAAUCCAGGCCCUACGGGGCGCAGCAGGCGCGAAAACUUUGCAAUGCGGGAAACCGUGACAAGGGAACUCUGAGUGCCCGUAAAAUCGGGCUGUCCAUCGGUUUAAAUAACCGGUGAAGAAAGGGCCGGGCAAGACCGGUGCCAGCCGCCGCGGUAAUACCGGCGGCUCGAGUGGUGGCCACUAUUACUGGGCUUAAAGCGUUCGUAGCUGGUUUGUUAAGUCUCUGGGGAAAUCUUCCGGCUUAACCGGAAGGCGUCUCAGGGAUACUGGCAGACUAGGGACCGGGAGAGGUGAGAGGUACUCCAGGGGUAGGAGUGAAAUCCUGUAAUCCUUGGGGGACCACCUGUGGCGAAGGCGUCUCACCAGAACGGCUCCGACAGUGAGGGACGAAAGCUGGGGGAGCAAACCGGAUUAGAUACCCGGGUAGUCCCAGCUGUAAACGAUGCGCGUUAGGUGUAUCAGUGACCACGAGUCACUGAGGUGCCGAAGAGAAUCGUGAAACGUGCCGCCUGGGAAGUACGGUCGCAAGGCUGAAACUUAAAGGAAUUGGCGGGGGAGCAC